UACGAAGGGGGCUAGCGUUGUUCGGAUUUACUGGGCGUAAAGCGCACGUAGGCGGAUUGUUAAGUCGGGGGUGAAAUCCCGGGGCUCAACCCCGGAACUGCCUUCGAUACUGGCAAUCUUGAGUCCGGAAGAGGUGAGUGGAACUCCUAGUGUAGAGGUGGAAUUCGUAGAUAUUAGGAAGAACACCAGUGGCGAAGGCGACUCACUGGUCCGGUACUGACGCUGAGGUGCGAAAGCGUGGGGAGCAAACAGG
This 253-nucleotide ribosomal RNA is filed under the name uncultured bacterium. RNAcentral describes it as "partial 16S ribosomal RNA". It matches the Rfam family "Bacterial small subunit ribosomal RNA", at positions 524 to 776 of the family's 1533-position model. The record is from RNAcentral.